AGCAGCCGCGGUAAUUCCAGCUCCAAUAGCGUAUAUUAAAGUUGUUGCAGUUAAAAAGCUCGUAGUUGAAUUUCGGGAUCAAGGAAUCGGUCAUGCCUCGGUAUGUACUGGUUUUAUUGGUUCUCACCUUCUAAAGAACCAUAAUGUCAUUCAUUUGAUGUUAUGGGGAAUUAGGACUGUUACCUUGAAAAAAUUAGAGUGUUUAAAGCAGGCUCACGCUUGAAUACAUUAGCAUGGAAUAAUGAAAUAGGACGUUUGAUUCUAUUUUGUUGGUUUCUAGGAUCGACGUAAUGAUUAAUAGGGAUAGUUGGGGGCAUUAGUAUUCAAUUGUCAGAGGUGAAAUUCUUGGAUUUAUUGAAGACUAACUACUGCGAAAGCAUUUGCCAAGGAUGUUUUCAUUAAUCAAGAACGAAAGUUAGGGGAUCGAAGACGAUCAGAUACCGUCGUAGUCUUAACCAUAAACUAUGCCGACUAGGGAUCGGAUGGAUGUUAAUUUUUAAUGACUCA
Molecule: ribosomal RNA, 507 nt
Filed under: uncultured Glomeraceae
Lineage: Eukaryota; Fungi; Glomeromycota; Glomeromycetes; Glomerales; Glomeraceae
Description: SSU rRNA
Rfam family: Eukaryotic small subunit ribosomal RNA
Source: RNAcentral